This 67-nucleotide transfer RNA is filed under the name Loxodonta africana (African savanna elephant). It matches the Rfam family "tRNA". From Rfam's summary of the family: Transfer RNA (tRNA) molecules are approximately 80 nucleotides in length. Their secondary structure includes four short double-helical elements and three loops (D, anti-codon, and T loops). The record is from Rfam by way of RNAcentral. Lineage: Eukaryota; Metazoa; Chordata; Mammalia; Proboscidea; Elephantidae.
GGUGGCAUAGCAGUUAAGCAUUUGGCUGCUAACCAAAAGGUCGGCAGUUCGAAUCUACCAGCUACUC